This is a long non-coding RNA of Hemicordylus capensis (graceful crag lizard), 236 nucleotides long. RefSeq lists it as uncharacterized. The transcript is spliced from 3 exons. The record is from RefSeq and is a predicted model, not a curated record. NCBI's taxonomy places the organism in Eukaryota, Metazoa, Chordata, Lepidosauria, Squamata, Cordylidae.
GAUGAAAGACACUUCAUGGGGAGGAGAUAUGGGUUAUUAUCUCUCCCUGCACCCUUGCCUACAGCCUUUGGACUCAGACAGUAUAAUAAAUAUUGCAAGAAGAAGAAGAAGAAGAACCAAUAAAGGAAUGCACCUUGAAUGAUCUGAUGGCACGAUGUUCCAGGAAGAAAAAGAUGGCUUGAAGCUAAUUAAUAGGAAGAACAAGAGCAAUUGAAGUGCUGUUGCUUCUGCUACCA